Molecule: long non-coding RNA, 310 nt
Filed under: Prunus persica (peach)
Lineage: Eukaryota; Viridiplantae; Streptophyta; Magnoliopsida; Rosales; Rosaceae
Description: long non-coding RNA (PPER_LNC006328)
Source: RNAcentral
GAAUAACUAAUUGUUCAUAUUAAUUAAGGUUAAUCAUCUUACUUUCACAUUCUUGUUGGGAGAAUUAAAAGAAGAAUUGACUAUAAGUUGUGAGACGUGAUACGAAAAAAGUGUCAAGGAAGAGGGUACUCUUUAUUGAUACCGACACUCUUAACGACUCCGUAGCCGUUAAGUAUUAUGUUUCCUGAUACUUUUUAGUCGUCACUAAACACUGUUUUUCUUGUAGCUAUGAUUCUACAUUGCUUCUUGUUGAUAUUACAUAUUCUGCUCCUCAAAGCUUAUUAUACAUAGCUGAAGUCUAAACUCACAC